Long non-coding RNA from Gossypium arboreum, 705 nucleotides. RefSeq lists it as uncharacterized. The transcript is spliced from 2 exons. Lineage: Eukaryota; Viridiplantae; Streptophyta; Magnoliopsida; Malvales; Malvaceae. The record is from RefSeq and is a predicted model, not a curated record.
UUCUUCUACCCAAUCACCAAAAGAAACAACAAAUAGUUGUUGAAUCUUACUAUGUAUUGGUAGCUCAUUCUCCCCACAAGAGCUUCCAGCAUAUAUAUAUAUAUAUAUAUAUGUGCGUGUGUGCGCGCGCGCUUUAGAUGCUACUAGUAAGUAACAGUCUUGUGCAUGCAUUUUGGGAUGGAAAUCAUUGCUCACUCUCCCUCAAGGGCUUCUGAAUUUGCCUGUGUUUAAGGGCUUAAACUGAAGCGCUGGAGGGUAGAGUGGAUAAUGUUCACCAUUCUUUCUGGCUACGUAUUUUGGCAAGUCAGUCAUGUCCAUAUGAGGAAAAAAGAAGCAAAUUUCAUUUUCGAAGCAUAUUAAAAAUAAGGACAAAGGGUAAGUUCCAUGGAUCAUAUGUAGAGUUAGAUGAACAAUAUUGGUGCAAGCUGGAUGCCCAGUGCUCAAUAGUGAUUGAUGAUUGUCCGUAUAGCUAGAGGCCAGUGGCAUGUGAGUUUCAGAACUCAUGUAUAGUGGCUCAAAAUGUUCCCCAUCUUUCCAAAAUCCUACGCUACUAUUAAUGAGCUUUGCUUGAGUUAUUAUUUUGGGCAAUGUAUCAUAUCAAAAACAUGUUGCAUGUGACUAUGACCCCACAAAGUCUGGCAACCAUUUCAAGUAUGUAUGCAAUGCUUCCUUCAUAACCUUAACUAGAUAAACUUGGCUUGUGAA